RNAcentral lists this ribosomal RNA (492 nucleotides) under uncultured bacterium. RNAcentral's name for it is "partial 16S ribosomal RNA". It matches the Rfam family "Bacterial small subunit ribosomal RNA", at positions 29 to 507 of the family's 1533-position model. The record is from RNAcentral.
AGUGAACGCUGGCGGUAGGCCUAACACAUGCAAGUCGAACGGCAGCACAGUAAGAGCUUGCUCUUACGGGUGGCGAGUGGCGGACGGGUGAGGAAUACAUCGGAAUCUACUUUUUCGUGGGGGAUAACGUAGGGAAACUUACGCUAAUACCGCAUACGACCUACGGGUUAAAGCAGGGAAUCUUCGGACCUUGAGCGAUUGAAUGAGCCGAUGUCGGAUUAGCUAGUUGGCGGGGGAAAGGCCCACCAACGCGACGAUCCGUAGCUGGUCUGAGAGGAUGAUCAGCCACACUGGAACUGAGACACGGUCCAGACUCCUACGGGAGGCAGCAGUGGGGAAUAUUGGACAAUGGGCGCAAGCCUGAUCCAGCCAUACCGCGUGGGUGAAGAAGGCCUUCGGGUUGUAAAGCCCUUUUGUUGGGAAAGAAAAGCAGCAGGUUAAUACCCCGCUGUUCUGACGGUACCCAAAGAAUAAGCACCGGCUAACUUCGUG